GAGGUCAAUUGAGUCUUCGGUGGAGUCCAAAGUCGGACUGGUUCUGAGCAGGACCGCGGCUCUGUCUGGUCGGCAUUGUGGUAUGCUCGACGCCUCGACCGAGAUAGGACAAUCCUUUGCCCUGAGCAGGACGAUCCAUUUUGCACCCCAUCAACAUGCAUGCUCAGAAACAUUCCCAAUUAAACAUGGAGCUCAAAUCCAGCUUUCCAUGUUUCAC
Molecule: long non-coding RNA, 217 nt
Filed under: Phoenix dactylifera (date palm)
Lineage: Eukaryota; Viridiplantae; Streptophyta; Magnoliopsida; Arecales; Arecaceae
Description: long non-coding RNA (PDAC_LNC004228)
Source: RNAcentral